RNAcentral lists this ribosomal RNA (253 nucleotides) under uncultured bacterium. Its description in RNAcentral is "partial 16S ribosomal RNA". It matches the Rfam family "Bacterial small subunit ribosomal RNA", at positions 524 to 776 of the family's 1533-position model. The record is from RNAcentral.
UACGUAGGGUGCAAGCGUUAAUCGGAAUUACUGGGCGUAAAGCGUGCGCAGGCGGCUUUGCAAGACAGAUGUGAAAUCCCCGGGCUUAACCUGGGAACCGCAUUUGUGACUGCAUAGCUGGAGUACGGCAGAGGGGGAUGGAAUUCCGCGUGUAGCAGUGAAAUGCGUAGAUAUGCGGAGGAACACCAGUGGCGAAGGCGACUAUCUGGGGUGCAACUGACGCUGAGGCGCGAAGGCUAGGGUAGCAAACAGG